GAUGAACGCUAGCUACAGGCUUAACACAUGCAAGUCGAGGGGAAACGACAUCGAAAGCUUGCUUUUGAUGGGCGUCGACCGGCGCACGGGUGAGUAACGCGUAUCCAACCUGCCCACCACUUGGGGAUAACCUUGCGAAAGUAAGACUAAUACCCAAUGACGUCUCUAGAAGACAUCUGAGAGAGAUUAAAGAUUUAUCGGUGAUGGAUGGGGAUGCGUCUGAUUAGCUUGUUGGCGGGGUAACGGCCCACCAAGGCGACGAUCAGUAGGGGUUCUGAGAGGAAGGUCCCCCACAUUGGAACUGAGACACGGUCCAAACUCCUACGGGAGGCAGCAGUGAGGAAUAUUGGUCAAUGGGCGAGAGCCUGAACCAGCCAAGUAGCGUGCAGGAUGACGGCCCUAUGGGUUGUAAACUGCUUUUAUAAGGGAAUAAAGUGAGUCUCGUGAGACUUUUUGCAUGUACCUUAUGAAUAAGGACCGGCUAAUUCCGUGCCAGCCACCGCCGUAA
Molecule: ribosomal RNA, 508 nt
Filed under: uncultured bacterium
Lineage: Bacteria
Description: partial 16S ribosomal RNA
Rfam family: Bacterial small subunit ribosomal RNA
Source: RNAcentral